Molecule: ribosomal RNA, 301 nt
Filed under: uncultured bacterium
Lineage: Bacteria
Description: partial 16S ribosomal RNA
Rfam family: Bacterial small subunit ribosomal RNA
Source: RNAcentral
CAGUAGCCGCGGUAAUACGUAGGUGGCAAGCGUUGUCCGGAAUUAUUGGGCGUAAAGGGCUCGCAGGCGGUUUCUUAAGUCUGAUGUGAAAGCCCCCGGCUCAACCGGGGAGGGUCAUUGGAAACUGGGAAACUUGAGUGCAGAAGAGGAGAGUGGAAUUCCACGUGUAGCGGUGAAAUGCGUAGAGAUGUGGAGGAACACCAGUGGCGAAGGCGACUCCCUGGUCUGUAACUGACACUGAGGAGCGAAAGCGUGGGGAGCGAACAGGAUUAGAUACCCCUGUAGUCCCUGUCUCUUAUAC